RNAcentral lists this long non-coding RNA (1639 nucleotides) under Lotus japonicus. RNAcentral describes it as "long non-coding RNA (LJAP_LNC000745)". The record is from RNAcentral. Lineage: Eukaryota; Viridiplantae; Streptophyta; Magnoliopsida; Fabales; Fabaceae.
GGGAGGGUGUUUGGGAUCCUUUUCUUUGUAUCUUUCCCCCAAUUUUAGGGUUUUACCAUUGAAUUAUAUCAGAUUUGGCUGGGUUCUAUCAUUGGUUUCAGAGCACCGAUCUGGUGCCCUGAAAACCACUCGUUUUCCCAGUGCUUCGUGAAGAUGCCAAGCACAUGACAUUUUUUCUCCCUAAAUUACCCCUGUAGGCACAUAGUGUUCAUGUUUGGUGGAUUAAAUGAAAAAUAGCUUUGGAGUCUUGGCAAACCAAAAACAAGCAUGCAUAAGUCUAAGCAACAUCUCCCAAUCAACAUGUGCUAUGUUAUUUGAGUCUUUAUAUAUACCCAUGUCAAUGGAAUUAGCUGGCAGAAUUACUGCAGCAUUUAAGCUGGCAAAUCCUGCAUUAUUGCAGAGCUGUAAUCAUGCAAUUCUGUAAUUAUAUCUUUAAUUAGCAUAGGAUAGCAGUUAUAACAAUUUAGCAGAUUUUUAGGGAUUGUAUUAUACUAUAUAUAUGAGAAUCCUCCAGCAGAAGGAUACACGAUUCAAACAUACAAUUCUUAGUUCUUGACAUGGUAUCAGUCUUGGUUGCAAUCCUAUAAUAGUUUUGCACCAAAUUCCUAGUUCUUUUUCCUCUCUUUUGUCUCAAGUUUAUCCUGGUCAAGCCCAAGUUCCUUUUGUUUCUUGUUCAGCCUUCAUUCUUUUCCUCAGCCUCAUGUCUACUGAAAAGUAUGAAGUUUUAUUGGUUCGCCUUAAUGGCAAGAACUACUCAGCCUGGGCAUUUGAGUUCCAGAUCUUUGUCAAAGGUAAGAGCCUUUGGGGUCAUGUUGAUGGUAGCACUUCUGCUCCUGACAAAGAGAAACAAAAAACUGAAUAUGCCGAUUGGGAAGUCAAAGAUAAUCAAGUCAUGGCGUGGAUCAUCAGAUCUGUUGAUCCAAAUAUUGUCCUCAAUCUUAGACCAUUCAGCACUGCAGCCAAGAUGUGGGCCUACCUGAAGAAAAUAUACAGCCAGAAUAACACCGCUCGAAGGUUCCAGCUUGAACAUGACAUCGCCAUUUUUCAACAGGAGAGUCUUUCAAUUUCUGAGUUCUAUUCUCAAUUCAUGAAUCUUUGGGCUGAUUACACUGACAUUGUCUAUGAUAGUGUGUCUACUGAAGGUCUUACUUCCGUACAAACUGUUCAUGAAACCACCAAACGAGAUCAAUUUCUUAUGAAAUUGAGAUCUGAUUUUGAAGGUAUUCGAACCAAUCUCAUGAAUAGAGCUACUGUACCUUCCUUGGAUGCAUGCCUCAAUGAACUGCUUCGUGAAGAACGCCGCCUCCUUACUCUAGCAACCAUGGAGCAGCACAAAUCUGCCUCACUUCCUGUUGCCUAUGCUGUUCAAGGAAAGCCUAGAGGACGGGACCUAAGUGCUGUUCAAUGUUUCUGCUGCAAAGGAUUUGGACAUUAUGCUUCAAAUUGUCCUAGAAAGUCCUGCAAUUACUGCAAAAAAGAUGGUCAUGUCAUUAAAGAAUGUCCUAUAAGACCACCUAAGAAAAAUGCAACAACAUUUACCACCUCAGUUCAUUCUCCUAUUGCCCCAAGUUCUGUGGAUAUAGCAAAUGUGCAGCAUAAUGCUCCUACCCCUGUUCAAGCUUUGACCCCUGAAAUUGUU